Peromyscus maniculatus bairdii (prairie deer mouse) is the source of this 1275-nucleotide long non-coding RNA. RefSeq lists it as uncharacterized. The record is from RefSeq and is a predicted model, not a curated record. NCBI's taxonomy places the organism in Eukaryota, Metazoa, Chordata, Mammalia, Rodentia, Cricetidae.
GGCUGAGGCAGGGAGACACUGCCAACAACCGCCAUGACCAGCAGCAUGUGAAGACACUGGAAUAAUCUCUGUUAUGGAGACAACGUAACCAUGGCAUGGGCAGAUCCAGCAUGAAAAUAAGAACCAUGCCAAAGACCUAAGUUAAGGGCAAGAUGGAGCCACUUCUGAAGACUCCGUAGCAUCUCGAAGCCAACGUCCAAGUCGUCCCCCGGGGUCGGCACAGCCCUAACAACUCCUGGGAGGACAGGAGACCACAGAGGCCAGACGCAGAACCAAGUGCCCAGGGGACCCCACCGUGUGCUGAAGACGGCAUGUGGUGGCACCAUAAAGUGGCGUUGGAAAGAGACAGUUGUUUAACUCUUGGUUCGUGAGAGGGAAUGAACCCGAGACAAUUACCAGCUCCGCUGUUACACUUCAAAGGCACUGUGGGGGUGGGGGAGCAAAGACUUGUACUGGUCCAGAAUCAGCAGACGACGUCAAGUCAGCUCCAUGCGGCACGGAGUGGUAUCUGAGCCAACCCCUGCCGUGGGUCAGACUACAGACACGCUUGCGGUUGCACAACCAGGUGGACAGCUCACCUCUGGACACCAGUCCUUAGAGCCCCACCCUGCGAAUGCCAGCAACGGCUGUGUUAGUCCUGCAGCUCCUGCCGAGGGCUCCACGGCAUCUGCCCACAGACCAGACAAACACCGCAUUUCUCCAUCCGCAGCCUGUUUCAUGUUCGGCGCUGUGAGGUAGGGAGGUUGUUGCUUAGAUGACACCGAGAUCCUAGUUACACACUAGGACAAACGCAGAGCCCGGCCCUUCAGAGUUCCCAGCCAGGCAUGCUUUCUACGUUGGCUCCGGCCCGUGAAAGUUUUGAGUGUCGGUUCUGGAACUCUGGGGACAGUGGCACGUGGAUGUCUUCCUAUGUUUGUGUUCCCCGGUGCUAGUCUUCAAGCCGUCUCUAAAGCCCAGCCCCCUCCCUGGAUCUUUUAGAGAGAGGAACUCAGGCUGUCAGGUCGCUGCAGGCUCUGCAGUCUUUGCUAGACCUGCAUGUAGCCUCCAGCUAUGGAGCCCCCCCCCCCCCCCCGGGUUGCGUGCAACGGUGAUGCUACCGUGGAACUGGGGGUUCCUUAUGAAUCAGAAAAGCUCUGCUAAGCCUCAUUCUAAGGAAGCCGGGCCUCCACCCAGCCUGCCUGUCGGCAUCUCCCCACAUUGCCAUCGAGGGGGAGAAGACAGUCCUUGAGCCGGUCCUCCAAACACAGCUGCCAGCUUGUUUAAAUAAAGCAACUU